CGAACGCUGGCGGCGUGCUUAACACAUGCAGGUCGAACGGAAAGGCCCUGCUUUUGUGGGGUGCUCGAGUGGCGAACGGGUGAGUAACACGUGAGUAACCUGCCCUUGACUUUGGGAUAACUUCAGGAAACUGGGGCUAAUACCGGAUAGGAGCUCCUGCUGCAUGGUGGGGGUUGGAAAGUUUCGGCGGUUGGGGAUGGACUCGCGGCUUAUCAGCUUGUUGGUGGGGUAGUGGCUUACCAAGGCUUUGACGGGUAGCCGGCCUGAGAGGGUGACCGGCCACAUUGGGACUGAGAUACGGCCCAGACUCCUACGGGAGGCAGCAGUGGGGAAUAUUGCACAAUGGGCGGAAGCCUGAUGCAGCAACGCCGCGUGCGGGAUGACGGCCUUCGGGUUGUAAACCGCUUUCGCCUGUGACGAAGCGUGAGUGACGGUAAUGGGUAAAGAAGCACCGGCUAACUACGUG
Molecule: ribosomal RNA, 466 nt
Filed under: uncultured bacterium
Lineage: Bacteria
Description: partial 16S ribosomal RNA
Rfam family: Bacterial small subunit ribosomal RNA
Source: RNAcentral